Molecule: ribosomal RNA, 250 nt
Filed under: uncultured prokaryote
Description: partial 16S ribosomal RNA
Rfam family: Bacterial small subunit ribosomal RNA
Source: RNAcentral
UACAUAGGUAGCGAGCGUUAUCCGGAAUAACUGGGCGUAAAGGGAGUGUAGGUGGCUGUGCAAGUCUUGUGUGAAAGGCCUAGGCUUAACUUAGGUAUUGCAUAAGAAACUGUAUAGCUAGAGUGCGAGAGAGGCAAGUGGAAUUCCUAGUGUAGCGGUAGAAUGCGUAGAGAUUAGGAGGAACACCAGAGGCGAAGGCGACUUGCUGGCUCGCAACUGACACUGAGACUCGAAAGCGUGGGGAGCAAAC